This 142-nucleotide ribosomal RNA is filed under the name uncultured Alphaproteobacteria bacterium. RNAcentral describes it as "partial 16S ribosomal RNA". It matches the Rfam family "Bacterial small subunit ribosomal RNA", at positions 537 to 678 of the family's 1533-position model. The record is from RNAcentral. Lineage: Bacteria; Pseudomonadati; Pseudomonadota; Alphaproteobacteria.
AGCGUUGUUCGGAAUUACUGGGCGUAAAGCGCACGUAGGCGGUAUUUCCAGUCAGAGGUGAAAUCCCGGGGCUCAACCCCGGAAUAGCCUUUAAAACUGGAAGUCUAGAAUCACGGAGAGGUGGGUGGAAUUCCGAGUGUAG